RNAcentral lists this ribosomal RNA (253 nucleotides) under uncultured bacterium. Its description in RNAcentral is "partial 16S ribosomal RNA". It matches the Rfam family "Archaeal small subunit ribosomal RNA", at positions 474 to 727 of the family's 1478-position model. The record is from RNAcentral.
UACCAGCACCCCGAGUGGUCGGGACGAUUAUUGGGCCUAAAGCAUCCGUAGCCGGUCAUGCAAGUCCUCCGUUAAAUCCAGCCGCUCAACGGUUGGGCUGCGGAGGAUACUACGUGGCUAGGAGGCGGGAGAGGCAAGCGGUACUCAGUGGGUAGGGGUAAAAUCCUUUGAUCCAUUGAAGACCACCAGUGGCGAAGGCGGCUUGCCAGAACGCGCUCGACGGUGAGGGAUGAAAGCCGGGGGAGCAAACCGG